AUGACUCUCGGCAACGGAUAUCUCGGCUCUCGCAUCGAUGAAGAACGUAGCGAAAUGCGAUACUUGGUGUGAAUUGCAGAAUCCCGUGAACCAUCGAGUCUUUGAACGCAAGUUGCGCCCGAAGCCGUCAGGCUGAGGGCACGUCUGCCUGGGCGUCACG
This 160-nucleotide ribosomal RNA is filed under the name Convolvulus canariensis. Its description in RNAcentral is "5.8S ribosomal RNA". It matches the Rfam family "5.8S ribosomal RNA". From Rfam's summary of the family: 5.8S ribosomal RNA (5.8S rRNA) is a component of the large subunit of the eukaryotic ribosome. It is transcribed by RNA polymerase I as part of the 45S precursor that also contains 18S and 28S rRNA. The record is from RNAcentral. RNAcentral also lists the same sequence under 9 other names. Lineage: Eukaryota; Viridiplantae; Streptophyta; Magnoliopsida; Solanales; Convolvulaceae.